UAUGUAUUCCCUCUCACAUUUCCCUCUCCCGAAAUUUGGUUUUUUCUCUAAAAUUUUCCAAAAGCUCACAUUUCUCAGUUUUCCCUAAAUAAGGGUUUCGUUUUCUGAUGGAGGCGCUGCAAUUGUUACCAUGGUGGCUCGAUUCAAACUGCGAGGUGGUUUCUUCUAGGUUUGGUGGCUUUACGGAAGCUAGGUUCGAGGAAGACGAAGACACGAGGGGUUUCGCAAUGUUCACGCAUUGAAGUCGCGAGAUUGGCGUUCUCUGGGUUUUUUCUUAUUUUUUUAGGUUCUCUUCUUCUUUGUAGGUGUGAGGCGAUUGAUGAAGGAGGAGAAGACGAACCGACGUUUCUCGCGAUUCUGGUUUUUGUUGCAGUUGAAGGUGGAGUGAUUGCAACGAUGUGGUCGAUUAUGAAGUUCUCGCACUUGGGUUCUAAGUGUGUGUUGAUGCUGCAAGGGAGGCACUGCUUGCGCAAGGACAGAGACGAACUCACGGUGGUCAUGGUGACGGAUGAUGGGCUUUUGCGUUUGAAAAGAUUACAAAAACUCGAAGUUCUCUAGUUCAAUUAAUGCUUUCAGAAAAAUGGAAGAAUGGAUUUACUGUGGAACACUAUGUUUGGAGUGGGCAUACUAUUGGAAUCAAAUUAAAGAAAACUUGAAAACAAGUGGCACUGGAAGAAUGAGUUUAAAGGAAGUAGCUGAAGAAAUGAAGUUGUGUUAAACUUUUAUUUUGAAUUUUGUUUAAGUCAUCAAGUUUAUAUGUUUUCAAUUAGUCAAGUUGUUUUCGACUAUGUUAGAUUUUGUAGUAAA
This is an RNA transcript of Vigna radiata var. radiata (mung bean), 807 nucleotides long. RefSeq lists it as uncharacterized. The transcript is spliced from 3 exons. The record is from RefSeq and is a predicted model, not a curated record. NCBI's taxonomy places the organism in Eukaryota, Viridiplantae, Streptophyta, Magnoliopsida, Fabales, Fabaceae.